CGAGCAGUCAUUUUGAGAUCAGUGGAGAAUGAUGGAGUCAGAAGCUGAGGCUCUGGUACAACAGCAGAAGACUGAAGGAUGGAGCAUCCCUUUCACCCCGAGAACAGUGUAUAGAGGUGAGAGUGUGCCUAGGCUUGGGCCACUGGUGUCUGCAUUCUUGUGCUCCUCCUGUCAGCCUGAGAUAAUCUGGAUAAGUCAGAAUCACAGAAAGAAAAAACUCAAGCAAUGGACCCCACGCAAGCUCAACCCAGUGCGGCCAACCCCAGAAACCCUGCAAAGUCAUAAAUGCAAAGAAAGUCUUUUGCUGUAAGGCUCCAAGACUUGGGGGAGUACCUGACAGACAACAUUCUCAUAGAAGAACUAACUGAUGGGUAGGCUAUGGUUUUGCAUGGACUGCAUUGCCUGGACCUCUGUGUUGAGAGUGUCAGGCAGAGAUCAUUGCUUUGUUUUGUACCAUCCAGAUUUAGGAAAGGGUUUCCCCCCUUUUCCAUGUAUUACUCCUUCCAUGACCUUUUCCUGAAGUACUCAUUGUUCAGACCCACGGGAUAAUCCACCCCAUUUAUAAGGUUCCACUCCCUCCCACUGAGCCACUUUUGGCCUCUCAGUCCUCCUGUCUGCGGCUGACAACCCCUUUGCCUAUGCUGGGAAGACGUCAGGUGUAUGGCAACACUGAGCAAGUGGAAUUCAGAGAGAUGAGGGUUCUUUGACGGUGCAACAAGGCGCAGAUACUUAGUUGGUUGAACCUCCUUGGAGAGCAGAGAAGGGAGCGGCUGCAUGCUCACUGUGAUGGUAGGUGACGGUAGGUGACAGUAGGUGACAGUAGGUGUUGGUAGGUGAGGCACCCCAUGCGCAAACUGGGGUUCUUUGUGAUGAGAUGGUCACUCCUCCCUUUGCCCUACCUAUCACAGACAGGUGGGCGUGGCCUUCCGAAUGCCCCUGCCUCCCUCUCUGAAAUGAAAUCUCUAAAAGCUGAACAGGGUGGAGAACUGUAAGCAGAGAUUCAGAUUCAGGCUGCAACAGAACAGAAGGAGUCAAAGCCCGGGAGGAAAGCCUGAAUGGGCUUGGAGAGGACAAAAUAAAACAGCAGACACAUUUAUACAGGUCUCUCCUACCUCUCAGAACAAAACAAUUAUGAGAUAAGAGAGGCAUGGAUGGAGGAAAUUCUUUCAUUUUUCACAUUGCGGGCUGGAGAGAUCCAAUAGGCUGUUUAUGAAGAACAAUAAAGAAGAUACAUGUGUUCAGUAAAGAGGUUGUUACAAAUAUAUCGGGUGGUUUUGAAAAGCCAGGGUUUUCUCCCCGCUUUUGGAUGAAGCUGUCAGCCGAGUAUUAAAAGAUUUUCUUUUUCUUUCUC
RNAcentral lists this small RNA (1351 nucleotides) under Rattus norvegicus (Norway rat). Its description in RNAcentral is "uncharacterized LOC103692581". The record is from RNAcentral. Lineage: Eukaryota; Metazoa; Chordata; Mammalia; Rodentia; Muridae.